Molecule: transfer RNA, 77 nt
Filed under: Ilumatobacteraceae bacterium
Lineage: Bacteria; Bacillati; Actinomycetota; Acidimicrobiia; Acidimicrobiales; Ilumatobacteraceae
Also listed under: 3 other names
Description: tRNA-Pro
Rfam family: tRNA
About the family: Transfer RNA (tRNA) molecules are approximately 80 nucleotides in length.
Source: RNAcentral
CGGGCUGUAGCGCAGCUUGGUAGCGCACUUGUCUGGGGGACAAGGGGUCGUGGGUUCAAAUCCCGCCAGCCCGACCA